AUUGAACGCUGGCGGCAUGCCUUACACAUGCAAGUCGAGCGGUAACAGGCAGUCGGGUGCUGACGUGUGCCGCACGGGGGAGUAAAGCAUCGGAACAUGUGCCGGGGUGGGGGGGAACGCGGCCGGAGCCGGGCGAUUAUAGCGCAUGCGCUCAGAGGGAGAGCGUGGGACCAAUCAGGACUUUUUGCUCUCACGCGACCGGAGCUGGCGAUGUCAGAUUAGUUAGUUGGGGGGGUAAAGGCCUACCAAGCCGACGAUCUGUAGCUGGUCUGAGAGGACGACCAGCCACACUGGGACUGAGACACGGCCCAGACUCCUACGGGAGGCAGCAGUGGGGAAUUUUGGACAAUGGGCGAAAGCCUGAUCCAGCAAUGCCGCGUGUGGGAAGAAGGCCUUCGGGUUGUAAACCGCUUUUGUUCGGGACGAAAAGGAGCUGGCUAAUACCUUGCGCUGAUGACGUUACCGUAAGAAUAAGCACCGGCUAACUACGUG
RNAcentral lists this ribosomal RNA (492 nucleotides) under uncultured bacterium. RNAcentral describes it as "partial 16S ribosomal RNA". It matches the Rfam family "Bacterial small subunit ribosomal RNA", at positions 29 to 507 of the family's 1533-position model. The record is from RNAcentral.